This 2104-nucleotide ribosomal RNA is filed under the name Escherichia coli. Its description in RNAcentral is "partial 23S ribosomal RNA". It matches the Rfam family "Bacterial large subunit ribosomal RNA", at positions 559 to 2646 of the family's 2925-position model. The record is from RNAcentral. Lineage: Bacteria; Pseudomonadati; Pseudomonadota; Gammaproteobacteria; Enterobacterales; Enterobacteriaceae.
UGUACGUACAAGCAGUGGGAGCACGCUUAGGCGUGUGACUGCGUACCUUUUGUAUAAUGGGUCAGCGACUUAUAUUCUGUAGCAAGGUUAACCGAAUAGGGGAGCCGAAGGGAAACCGAGUCUUAACUGGGCGUUAAGUUGCAGGGUAUAGACCCGAAACCCGGUGAUCUAGCCAUGGGCAGGUUGAAGGUUGGGUAACACUAACUGGAGGACCGAACCGACUAAUGUUGAAAAAUUAGCGGAUGACUUGUGGCUGGGGGUGAAAGGCCAAUCAAACCGGGAGAUAGCUGGUUCUCCCCGAAAGCUAUUUAGGUAGCGCCUCGUGAAUUCAUCUCCGGGGGUAGAGCACUGUUUCGGCAAGGGGGUCAUCCCGACUUACCAACCCGAUGCAAACUGCGAAUACCGGAGAAUGUUAUCACGGGAGACACACGGCGGGUGCUAACGUCCGUCGUGAAGAGGGAAACAACCCAGACCGCCAGCUAAGGUCCCAAAGUCAUGGUUAAGUGGGAAACGAUGUGGGAAGGCCCAGACAGCCAGGAUGUUGGCUUAGAAGCAGCCAUCAUUUAAAGAAAGCGUAAUAGCUCACUGGUCGAGUCGGCCUGCGCGGAAGAUGUAACGGGGCUAAACCAUGCACCGAAGCUGCGGCAGCGACGCUUAUGCGUUGUUGGGUAGGGGAGCGUUCUGUAAGCCUGUGAAGGUGUGCUGUGAGGCAUGCUGGAGGUAUCAGAAGUGCGAAUGCUGACAUAAGUAACGAUAAAGCGGGUGAAAAGCCCGCUCGCCGGAAGACCAAGGGUUCCUGUCCAACGUUAAUCGGGGCAGGGUGAGUCGACCCCUAAGGCGAGGCCGAAAGGCGUAGUCGAUGGGAAACAGGUUAAUAUUCCUGUACUUGGUGUUACUGCGAAGGGGGGACGGAGAAGGCUAUGUUGGCCGGGCGACGGUUGUCCCGGUUUAAGCGUGUAGGCUGGUUUUCCAGGCAAAUCCGGAAAAUCAAGGCUGAGGCGUGAUGACGAGGCACUACGGUGCUGAAGCAACAAAUGCCCUGCUUCCAGGAAAAGCCUCUAAGCAUCAGGUAACAUCAAAUCGUACCCCAAACCGACACAGGUGGUCAGGUAGAGAAUACCAAGGCGCUUGAGAGAACUCGGGUGAAGGAACUAGGCAAAAUGGUGCCGUAACUUCGGGAGAAGGCACGCUGAUAUGUAGGUGAAGUCCCUCGCGGAUGGAGCUGAAAUCAGUCGAAGAUACCAGCUGGCUGCAACUGUUUAUUAAAAACACAGCACUGUGCAAACACGAAAGUGGACGUAUACGGUGUGACGCCUGCCCGGUGCCGGAAGGUUAAUUGAUGGGGUUAGCCGCAAGGCGAAGCUCUUGAUCGAAGCCCCGGUAAACGGCGGCCGUAACUAUAACGGUCCUAAGGUAGCGAAAUUCCUUGUCGGGUAAGUUCCGACCUGCACGAAUGGCGUAAUGAUGGCCAGGCUGUCUCCACCCGAGACUCAGUGAAAUUGAACUCGCUGUGAAGAUGCAGUGUACCCGCGGCAAGACGGAAAGACCCCGUGAACCUUUACUAUAGCUUGACACUGAACAUUGAGCCUUGAUGUGUAGGAUAGGUGGGAGGCUUAGAAGUGUGGACGCCAGUCUGCAUGGAGCCGACCUUGAAAUACCACCCUUUAAUGUUUGAUGUUCUAACGUUGACCCGUAAUCCGGGUUGCGGACAGUGUCUGGUGGGUAGUUUGACUGGGGCGGUCUCCUCCUAAAGAGUAACGGAGGAGCACGAAGGUUGGCUAAUCCUGGUCGGACAUCAGGAGGUUAGUGCAAUGGCAUAAGCCAGCUUGACUGCGAGCGUGACGGCGCGAGCAGGUGCGAAAGCAGGUCAUAGUGAUCCGGUGGUUCUGAAUGGAAGGGCCAUCGCUCAACGGAUAAAAGGUACUCCGGGGAUAACAGGCUGAUACCGCCCAAGAGUUCAUAUCGACGGCGGUGUUUGGCACCUCGAUGUCGGCUCAUCACAUCCUGGGGCUGAAGUAGGUCCCAAGGGUAUGGCUGUUCGCCAUUUAAAGUGGUACGCGAGCUGGGUUUAGAACGUCGUGAGACAGUUCGGUCCCUAUCUGCC